AGCGAACGCUGGCGGCAGGCCUAACACAUGCCAGUCGAACGAACUCUUCGGAGUUAGUGGCGGACGGGUGAGUAACACGUGGGAACGUGCCUUUUGGUUCGGAAUAACUCAGGGAAACUUGUGCUAAUACCGAAUGUGCCCUUCGGGGGAAAGAUUUAUCGCCAUUAGAGCGGCCCGCGUCUGAUUAGCUAGUUGGUGAGGUAACGGCUCACCAAGGCGACGAUCAGUAGCUGGUCUGAGAGGAUGACCAGCCACACUGGGACUGAGACACGGCCCAGACUCCUACGGGAGGCAGCAGUGGGGAAUCUUGCGCAAUGGGUGAAAGCCUGACGCAGCCAUGCCGCGUGAAUGAUGAAGGUCUUAGGAUUGUAAAAUUCUUUCACCGGGGACGAUAAUGACGGUACCCGGAGAAGAAGCCCCGGCUAACUUCGUG
This 433-nucleotide ribosomal RNA is filed under the name uncultured bacterium. RNAcentral's name for it is "partial 16S ribosomal RNA". It matches the Rfam family "Bacterial small subunit ribosomal RNA", at positions 29 to 507 of the family's 1533-position model. The record is from RNAcentral.